GAUGAAGAACGUAGCGAAAUGCGAUAAGUAAUGUGAAUUGCAGAAUUCAGUGAAUCAUCGAAUCUUUGAACGCACAUUGCGCCCCUUGGUAUUCCGAGGGGCAUGCCUGUUCGAGCGUCAUUAUAACCCCUCAAGCCUAGCUUGGUGUUGGGGCCUGCUGUAAUAGAGCAGCCCUUAAAAUCAGUGGCGGUGCCAUUAGGCUCUAAGCGUAGUAAUUCUUCUCGCUAUAGGGUUCUGGUGGAUGCUUGCCAUUAACCUCUAAUUUUCUAUGGUUGACCUCGGAUCAGGUAGGGAUACCCGCUGAACUUAAGCAUAUCAAUAAGCGGAGGA
RNAcentral lists this unclassified non-coding RNA (330 nucleotides) under soil metagenome. Its description in RNAcentral is "partial contains 5.8S ribosomal RNA, internal transcribed spacer 2, and large subunit ribosomal RNA". The stretch from base 1 to 120 matches the Rfam family "5.8S ribosomal RNA", at positions 35 to 154 of the family's 154-position model. The record is from RNAcentral.